GACGAACGCUGGCGGCGUGCUUAACACAUGCAAGUCGAACGGAAAGGCCCCUUUGGGGGUACUCGAGUGGCGAACGGGUGAGUAACACGUGAGUAACCUGCCCUUGACUUCGGGAUAACUUCAGGAAACUGGGGCUAAUACCGGAUAGGAAUCCUUGCUGCAUGGUGGGGGUUGGAAAGCUUCGGCGGUUUUGGAUGGACUCGCGGCUUAUCAGCUUGUUGGUGGGGUAGUGGCUUACCAAGGCUUUGACGGGUAGCCGGCCUGAGAGGGCGACCGGCCACAUUGGGACUGAGAAACGGACCAGACUCCUACGGGAGGCAGCAGUGGGGAAUAUUGCACAAUGGGCGGAAGCCUGAUGCAGCAACGCCGCGUGCGGGAGGACGGCCUUCGGGUUGUAAACCGCUUUCAGCAGGGGCGAAGCUUGUGGUGACGGUACCUGCAGAAGAAGCACCGGCUAACUACGUG
Molecule: ribosomal RNA, 465 nt
Filed under: uncultured bacterium
Lineage: Bacteria
Description: partial 16S ribosomal RNA
Rfam family: Bacterial small subunit ribosomal RNA
Source: RNAcentral